AUUCAUAUAAUUGGAAAGCCUCCCGCCGGAAUCAACUAUAUGUUUUAGGAUUAAACCGUUGUUUUUGAUAAAUGUGGAGUUACUAAUUGAUAAUGUGCACGUGCUUCGGUAGGGAAGGCAAUGAGUUUUCCCCAAUUAUCAGUUUCUUUAUUCUCACAGGUCAUUGCUUAAAAAUGGGAUCAAGAAGAAGAGCAUUUUGUCAAACUCUGUGAAGAAGAGCCUCUUCAUACAGGGAGUCGAUUAUUCGCAAAGGUAAUUUUUAUACACUGCUUCUAUCGUAUAUUCAUAUGAAUUUCAUAUAAAUUAUUUAGACUCAAAACAUGGUGGCUUGAGGUGCAUCGGCUAAGAAAUGCAAAGUGAUCAUCCGACCAGACCCAACCGACUUGGUCGUUUUUGGACAGUUUUUAAAUCGAACCGACCUGGUUCGAUACUUGAAACCUACCUAACCCAAUCCGCAGAGGUCAGGUCUGGUCGUUUCCUUAAAAAAUGUUUUUCCACUGAUUUCAAUACUAAAAUUUUAAGACUUCCAAAUCAAUCCUUAAUUUCUUAAAAUAAAAUCUGAAAAAAAAAAUGAAAAAUGAAAAAAGCUUAAUUAAUUGGGUCAGCAGCAGCAAGUGAAAGGGAGAGAGAACUAUGUACUACUUCAUUCAAACUCUGAUUAUCUUUAUCUAAUUUGUUGUAUUCUUCGACAUCUUCCAUGUAGAAUCUCUCCAUACUUGGAGUUUCUUUUAGCCAAUUUUGAGUACAUACCAAAACCUCCACAAUCCUCACGGUAAAAGAACUACGGAAGGGAUCAAGAAUUCUUUCUCCGGUACUAAAAGCAUUUUCUAAAUUCAUGGUAGACACUUUGGACGAAGUGCCAUAUUUAUUUGUUCUUUCUCCAGUCCUAAAAAAGCUCCCACCUUUGUUCCUCAUCUUCAUGCAGCAAGGUUUGCAUGCCUAUUCUUGCACUGGAUUAAAAUCUAAACAAACUUG
This is a long non-coding RNA of Olea europaea var. sylvestris, 975 nucleotides long. RefSeq lists it as uncharacterized. Lineage: Eukaryota; Viridiplantae; Streptophyta; Magnoliopsida; Lamiales; Oleaceae. The transcript has 3 exons. The record is from RefSeq and is a predicted model, not a curated record.